AUGGCGCCCCCCGCGGCCGCGCUCCUCGGCCCUCCCAUCGCCAUCGUCGACACCGACAUGCCCGACGCCGACCGCAAGCCCAAGGCCAAGCCGACGCCGAAGAAGCCCAAGCGCGCGCAGCUCCGCGGCGACUCGUCGUCGUCGGACGACGACUCCGAGGGCGACUACAGCGACGCCGAGCCGCCCCGCUCCUGCGUCUCGCGCCCGCCGAAGGCCGAGGGGAAGGCGCUCGCGUACGCCUCGUCGGGCGACCCCUGCGUCGACUUCUUCUUCCAGGUCGUCCCGGGCGCCACGGCGGCCGCCGACGUGGCCGCGCUCCUCAGCGUCGCCUGGGCGGGCGACGCGCGCACGGCGCUCCGCCUCGUGUGCCACCUCCGCGGCGUCCGCGGGCUCGGCAAGUCCGACCGCGAGGGCUUCUACGCCGCCGCGCUCUGGAUGCACGCCAACCACCCGCGCACCCUCGCCGCCAACCUCGCCUCCUUCGCCAGGUUCGGCUGCCUCAAGGACCUCCCCGAGAUCGUCUACCGCGUCCUCCACGGCCCCCGCGACGAGCGCAAGGACGGCGACGACAGCACCAGGGUCCACCGCCGCGGCGGCUCCCGCGGCCGUAACAACAAGCGGCGCUGCGUCGGCGAGGCCGCGGAGGCCGCCAAGGCCAGGCGCCAGAAGGAGACGGAGCACGCGCAGGUCGUCCUCGCCCGCUACGACUCGGACGAGAGCUUCCGCUUCCUCUACGACCGCGUCGCCGAGCUCUUCGCCGAGCUGCUCAAGUCCGACCUCGAGCACCUUCGCUCGGGCGACACGCCCAAGAUCGGGCUCGCCGCCAAGUGGUGCCCGUCGCUCCGCUCGUCCUACGACCGCUCGACCCUGCUCUGCGAGGCCAUCGCCCGCCGCGUCUUCCCGCGCGACUCGAGCCCGGAGUACCUCAGCAUCCCCGACAAGCACUACGCGUACCGCGUCCGCAACCGGCUCCGCCGCGAGGUGCACGUGCCGCUGCGCAAGGUCCUGGAGCUCCCGGAGGUGUACAUGAGCGCGCGCAAGUGGGACGAGCUCCCCUACGCGCGCGUGGCGUCGCGGGCGAUGCGGCAGUACAAGCAGGCCUUCGACAAGCACGACAAGUCGGGCGUGGCCGGUUUCUACGACGAGGUGCGCGCCGGGCUGACCAGGAUCCCGGCGGACGCGGUGCUGCCGCACGAGAUCUUGGCCGCGGCCCUCAAGGGCGAGCACGACGAGUCGGCGGAGCUCCAGUGGCGCCACAUGGUGUCCUCCCUGGCGUCUGAGGGCCGGCUCAGCAACUGCAUCGCCAUGUGCGCCCUGUCGAGCUCGGUGGAGAAGCCACCGGCGGCCGCGGCAAUCGCGCUGGGGCUGCUGAUCUCGGAGCUGAGCAAGGAUCCGUGGAAGGGGCGGGUGAUCACCUUCGACGCCACGCACCAGCUGCACAAGGUGCGCGGCGCGUCGCUGGUGGAGAAGCUCCGGACGCUGGCCGCCGUGAGGGCACAGAAGGGCGCGAACCUGCAGGCCGUCUUCAACAAGAUCCUGAACGUGGCGGUGGCCGGCGCGCUGUCCAAGGACAUGAUGGUGAAGCGGGUGUUCGUGCUGAGCGACAUGGAGUUCGACGGGUGGGUGGGCGGCGAGGCGUGGGUGUCGGAGCAUGCGGCCAUCAAGAAGAAGUUCGCGGCGGAGGGGUUCGCCGUGCCGGAGGUGGUGUUCUGGAACGUGGGCACGUCCAAGGCGUCGGUGCCGGUGGUGGCGGCGCAGGCCGGCGUGGCGCUGGUGAGCGGCUACUCGAAGAACCUGGUGCGGCUGUUCCUGGAGGCGGACGGCGUGCUCACCCCGUCGGCCAUCAUGGCGGACGCCAUCUCCGGCCCCGAGUACGACGCCCUCGAGGUGCUCGACUGA
RNAcentral lists this ribosomal RNA (1899 nucleotides) under Triticum aestivum (bread wheat). RNAcentral's name for it is "partial small subunit ribosomal RNA". Lineage: Eukaryota; Viridiplantae; Streptophyta; Magnoliopsida; Poales; Poaceae. The record is from RNAcentral.